UUUGUUUCUUCAUUGUUGCUUUUGAUGUUUCCCUUUUUUUUUUUCAUUUUUCUAUUUAUAAUUUUCCUAAGGGUGUUUUUCAUUGAUUUGCAUUUCUUGGUUUCUAGUCUGUUAGAUAAGGAAUUGUCUUCUCUGGUUCUUUUUAUUUAACCCUUUCAAUUUUAAAUUCUUUCAACUUUUCUGUGGUUUUUCUUGAGAACUUUUCAUUGACAUCUGUUAGCAUAGCAACAAAGGUAGGAUUUUAUCAGCUCUGUGUAUUCACAAGUCAAUUUUAUAUAUUUUGUAUAUUAUUUCAGGUAAAGCUCAGCGAUUCAUUUUCAUUUAGAUAUCUGGGAAUUGGUGUUUCCUGGAAGUGGGUGCUGCA
RNAcentral lists this unclassified non-coding RNA (364 nucleotides) under Hevea brasiliensis (rubber tree). The record is from RNAcentral. Lineage: Eukaryota; Viridiplantae; Streptophyta; Magnoliopsida; Malpighiales; Euphorbiaceae.